This 506-nucleotide ribosomal RNA is filed under the name uncultured bacterium. Its description in RNAcentral is "partial 16S ribosomal RNA". It matches the Rfam family "Bacterial small subunit ribosomal RNA", at positions 29 to 523 of the family's 1533-position model. The record is from RNAcentral.
AGUGAACGCUGGCGGUAGGCCUAACACAUGCAAGUCGAACGGCAGCACAGGAGAGCUUGCUCUCUGGGUGGCGAGUGGCGGACGGGUGAGGAAUACAUCGGAAUCUACUUUUUCGUGGGGGAUAACGUAGGGAAACUUACGCUAAUACCGCAUACGACCUACGGGUGAAAGCAGGGGACCUUCGGGCCUUGCGCGAUUGAAUGAGCCGAUGUCGGAUUAGCUAGUUGGCGGGGUAAAGGCCCACCAAGGCGACGAUCCGUAGCUGGUCGGAGGGGAUGAUCAGCCACACUGGAACUGGGACACGGUCCAGACUCCAACGGGAGGCAGCAGUGGGGAAUAUUGGACAAUGGGCGCAAGCCUGAUCCAGCCAUACCGCGUGGGUGAAGAAGGCCUUCGGGUUGUAAAGCCCUUUUGUUGGGAAAGAAAUCCAGCUGGCUAAUACCCGGUUGGGAUGACGGUACCCAAAGAAUAAGCACCGGCUAACUUCGUGCCAGCCGCCGCUGUAA